RNAcentral lists this unclassified non-coding RNA (240 nucleotides) under soil metagenome. RNAcentral's name for it is "partial contains 5.8S ribosomal RNA, internal transcribed spacer 2, and large subunit ribosomal RNA". The record is from RNAcentral.
AACCUAGCACACCUGCGGUGUGUACCUGCGGAAGGAUCAUUACUGAGUGUAAAAACUCCCAAACCCACUGUGAACAUACCACUGUUGCUUCGGCGGAUGCGCCCCGGGCGCGCCCUACAAAGGCGUGCCCCGGAUCAAGGCCACCGCCGGGGGACCGAAACUCUUGUUUUCCUAAGGAUUCUCUGAGUGUGAUUAUUAAAUCAAAUCAAAACUUUCAACAACGGAUCUCAGAUCGGAAGA